Siniperca chuatsi (mandarin fish) is the source of this 2732-nucleotide long non-coding RNA. RefSeq lists it as uncharacterized. The record is from RefSeq and is a predicted model, not a curated record. Lineage: Eukaryota; Metazoa; Chordata; Actinopteri; Centrarchiformes; Sinipercidae. The transcript has 3 exons.
UAUCCUCAUGUCCCCCUGGUCAAAGCAAAGCAGGAUAUAUGGGAAUGCUUGGGCCCUUGGACCAGACGUUGUGAGGAAGCUGCUGGUUGGGUAAAGACAUCAAACUCAGGUGUGGAUUUUCACAGCCAACUUCAGGUAUUCCGGAAAAGCUUUUCAGCUAUAGCAACAGGGCUAAGAAGCAUUGAGCUCAUCCCAGGUUCAGAGUUUUUAAUGGCCAGUUUGGUAACAUCAGAUGAUGAAAUAAGUCAUGACAAAAACAUUUUUGUGAAAGACGUCUCAGAAAUUCCUGAGUUAUAUCAGGUACCAUCCUGCUUGCGGGCACAACACAAGUAUGAUGUAAGAUUAAUCAAAGAUGUUAAGCCUGUAGUAAUCACACCAAAAUCUUCAUACAGGCCGUGUCAGAACCAAUAUCCUUUGAAGAAGGAAGCUGUUGACGGUAUUAAACCGGUGUUUGAUUCUCUUUUAAAAGCAGGAGUGAUUAUUCCAUGCGCAAAAUCUCCGGUCCGGACACCUUUUUUCCCCGUACGAAAACUCCGGGACGCCGGAGAGCAACAACAUUGGAGAUUCGUGCAGGACUUGCAGGCGCAUCCCAGUGGAUCCUGACAGCCAGUAUUGGUUUGCGUUCUCUUUUUAAGGUGAAGGAAGCCAUUCCAAGGGCUGCAGAGAGGAAAGUGCAUGACUUGGAGCCUGGUGAUUGGAUCGUGGUGAAGGAUUUCAGAUGAAAGAACUGGCGGGCUCGCGGGUGGAAUGGUCCCUACCAGAUCUUGCGCACCACUGAAACCGCUGUAAAGGUGGCAGAGAGAGCUACGUGGAUCCACGCCACCCACUGCAAAUGAGUACCCGAGCCGGGGCCAGCAGCCAAUCACCAGACAAGUGAGAUCAAGAUCAGUGAGUGAACCGAACCUUCCUCCCCUUGAGCAUUCAGGGGCUAUUGGAGGGGAAUUGCGGUCCCGUGGGGGAGUUUCUCUGAGCACAGAAAUUCCACUGGGACCACCUAGAACCGCUACCCUCCCGAACCAACAUCACAGGCACCGAUUAGGGGGUAGGCAGAGGUGUCACAACUGAUAAGAUGACACUUGAGACCAGAGAAAGAUGGCGAUGGUGGGGUGAUGGACUUAGAGGCCACGGAGGCGGGGUGCUGCUCGUUGUCAUCAUUGUCCUGUCAUCAGUCUCACUAAUGGAAACAUUCGAAACACAACUAGCCCUAGAAGAAGGAGGGGUCAAAAGGGAGGUGCCAUCCAUCUUCCCCAACAUCCCAGCUCAGCUGGAAGACAACACAUGGUAUGCAACUAUACUGACUACUCCCAGAAAAGUGACUAACCAGAGACAUGUAACAUCAGCAUCACCAACUACGACGGCUCCACAGCAAGGUUUUGGAACAUGAGCCAAAUAACAGCAAGGGAUUCAUCGGCCCAUCAUGACUACCAAUCCAACAUCCCAGGCCGGUAUGGUUGGAUUCACCAGACAGUGCUACACAUCUAGAGAUCACUUCCCAGAGACUUCAGCAUGCAAACAGAUUGUCACUACAACAUGUGGCAUCGAGUGGAACAAGGGAGCCCAAAGCAAAUGCAGGGGACCUCAGCCAUACAUCGCUCAGCUGAAUCUGACACCACCAGCUUACACCACCCAGGAAGCGACAAUCCCAUCGUCCUGAUGACUACGGAGGAUGGAUUUGGAUCCCUAAGAGAGCACGUGUGGAGCAUGGCGAUCCACUACGAGAGUGUCACCAGGGGAGAAAGGAAUCAGUGGCAUCCUCCCUUGGUGGGGGACUGUGAAUAAUGCACACAAGACAGAUCACCUGGCCAUAGAUCUUGAGAACUUGACGGCACUGGUAGAGGUAGGGUUUUCCACUCUCACUCCUACCAUGCAGGGGAUCAAAAACGUGGCCCUGCAGAACAGAAUGGUUUUGGACUUGAUGCUGGCUAGUCAAGGAGGAGUUUGUCAUAUUAUGGGACUGAUUGCUGCACCUAUGUUCCAGACAUCACUGACAAUAUGACUCAUGUUGUUUCCCACCUGAACGACCUACUGCAUGAGAAGAAAAGCCUAGACUCCCAGAGUGUGAGAGGAUGGGAUAUGUGGUCAUGGCUGACCAUGGGAGGAUGGAAGAAUGUGUUGAUGAAAAUGUUGGCACCCGUGCUCCUAGUUAUUGUGCUCUUCCUCCUUUUGACCUGCUGUGUAAUUCCCUGCUUCAGAUCAAUGAUUGUUACAGCAAUUAAAUCAUCUAUGGGUCAGUAUAUGAAUAUGCCAAUAGAAACAUUCAGCUCUGUUGAAUGGAUUCCACCGUUUGACAAUGAGAUGAUUUGAGGAGAAUAAAAUUGCAUGUAACCACACUGGAUUUUGAAGUAUGAUGCGAAUUUAGAAUAAAAUGCUCAUGCAUGCUCAUAUAUUACUGCUAGAGCUGUUUACCUGGUGUGGUUACAGUUAUAAUAAUAAUAAUAGUUCUGUUGUUUUGUUGAUUCACGCAUGCUUAUUGUUUAUAACUUAGUUCUUUGGUUUAGUCUGUCAUUAAAUUUUUUAGUUCAUUUCUAUUUACUUGACUGCUAAUGACAGGCUACUGAAUUGAAGGUUCUUCCUCUGACACCUGAGGUUUUCCCCACUUGUCUGGUUAUUUGAUUUUUCCUUUCCUACCUAACAUUUGUUCUUAAUUAUUUUGAUUAGCAUUUAUUUUAAGAUGAUUUUAUGCUAAAAAGGGAGGAAUUGUAAUGGCAAGAACAAACAGACUCUCUGAUAUA